GGGGCAGUAGCUCAGUUGGGAGAGCGCCGGAAUCGCACUCCGGAGGUCGGGAGUUCGAAUCUCCUCUGCUCCA
RNAcentral lists this transfer RNA (73 nucleotides) under bacterium. RNAcentral describes it as "tRNA-Ala". It matches the Rfam family "tRNA". Rfam says of the family: Transfer RNA (tRNA) molecules are approximately 80 nucleotides in length. RNAcentral also lists the same sequence under 2 other names. The record is from RNAcentral.